Long non-coding RNA from Zingiber officinale, 1828 nucleotides. RefSeq lists it as uncharacterized. Lineage: Eukaryota; Viridiplantae; Streptophyta; Magnoliopsida; Zingiberales; Zingiberaceae. The transcript has 3 exons. The record is from RefSeq and is a predicted model, not a curated record.
CGCAAGAAAAAAAAUGGCAUGUGCACAGGUUUCUUGCUUCUCCUUUUCCUUGUCACCCCCAUUUCUUAGGGUUUCUCCAACCCACGUCUAUGAUGCGGCCCGACCCCUUCAGGUGUUGAUCUUCCUCCACGAGCGGCCCAGCCCCUAAAGCCGCAACUAUCAACGAAGCGAUGCCACCCCCAGUGUAUCCGUGAAGCUCCUCCAUGUUCGAUCAAACCCUACCGCCACCACUAGCAGCGAAGCGACGCCACCCCAGCCGCGGAGCUCCAUGGCCUAAGCCCUAAAGCUCCUCCACCAGGGAAGCGAUGCUACCACUCAAUUUUACUCGACAGUUGAACCACUAAACUCGAAGAAGGGGUCUGUACGGGUUUGUUUCUUCGAAUGAUCUAAAUCUUGAUGUUAUUCUUUCUGCCUGCCUCUUAUCCAGGUGUUAAUCUCCUCGUUCCUUGGAAGGACAUAAGUGAUCCCAAAGACUCCUUUCGCCUUCUCUGUCUCAUCUAAGUUUAGCAUUCUGACUUCGAAUCAAAGGACCAAAUAUUCAUGUCUGCCAGCUCUUCAUCAACAACAUCUUUCACUCAAAGAUUCAUGAAUGAGGGAUAAAGUGAAACUUCCCAUAUAUUAUGUUAUUGUGGGUUAAGAGCUACUCUAUGGACAUUAUGGAAGGAAAUCAAUCCAGGAUGGCUAUUUUUUUCAUGUCCAAAAUUUAGAGAAAGAGAAUGUGACUUCUUCUUAUGGCAUAAUCCAGAAUUAUCAGAGAAAACUAAGACAAUUAUUAAUGAUAUGAAGAGGGAUAACAAAAAAUUAAAAAUGGAGAUUAGUGAAUUGAAGAAAUCUAAUAUAUACAUCGAAAGUACAGUUGAUUGCAAUAAUCUCCUGGAGAAUGUGAACAACUCUAUUACUAUGAAGUUUAGUGAUAAAAUAUAUUCAUUGAGUAGGAAGUUUAGAGUUGCUAUCGUUGUAGUUGUAUUUACUUGGAUUGUGAUGAUUUUGAGAUGGUUGAUGUAAUUUGCUAUAAGCAAAUAACUGUUGAAGUAAUGAAAGAUGUUUUUGGUUUUUUAAUGUGACUUCUUAGUGUUUUUUGAUUUUUUUUGUUGGGGUUGUUUGAUGAAAUUAUGUUAUUCAUGGUUGAUACAAUUUGGUUGUGACUUAAAUUUCCAGCAAAUAACUAGUUUCUCCAAAGAUUUCUACAGCAGAAAUUAUUGGUUAAAUUUGAUCUUUCAUAUGAAUUUUUCUUAUACUAGGACAUAAUGGUCAGAUAUAACCACAUGAAAGGUAGGCCUACACUUUGGAUUCCUGGUACAGAUUAGCAAAAUUUUAACAUCAUGAAAGAAGCAAACGAAUCUAAAACUCCCAUUAGGAAGACCUUCAACGUGAUGGUUACCAAUGGUAUAUUAGACAUUCAUCUCCUGUGCUGGAAAGGAAACCUGCUGCAUUCCGACUGAAGGAACGCAUGGGCCAUCGUUUUCUGCAAUAACAGUUUCUCCAUGUUGUCUUUCUUCAGCUGACAUUUUUUUCCUUCCUUUUGUUCUUUUUCUUAUUUUGUUCCUAGUAACUAUGCUUUCCCCCUCUAGUUUCUGCUGUGUUGAUUGUGUUGAUAAAAUUAGUGUGUUAGUGGACAUGUUUUAAUUGAGUUAGUCGAGAGAAAUAAUAGUGUAAUGGUUGUAAUGUGAUGUUAGUGGGUCAAUGAGUUGACAGGUUGAGUUAGUGGUGGAAGAUAGGGUUAAUGUUGUGAUGUUUGUGGAGUUAGUGGGUUUUUUAAUAUGUGAUGUAUUAACCUAUAAAUAUGAUAUGUAAUGAUCAAUAAAAGUGUGUGAAAAAAUUAUUUUUA